Long non-coding RNA from Leopardus geoffroyi (Geoffroy's cat), 983 nucleotides. RefSeq lists it as uncharacterized. The transcript has 3 exons. Lineage: Eukaryota; Metazoa; Chordata; Mammalia; Carnivora; Felidae. The record is from RefSeq and is a predicted model, not a curated record.
UGAGAGAUACUGUCCCUUCAAGCCAUUCGAGCCAUUCAACAGCCGCAGGGCUCACCCUUCACAAAGCUACGAUUGGGUUUCUAUAGGAGAGUGUCGUGCUCUGAUUUGCAGUCUGAGAGGUCACAGGGCCUGCAUCGUGACAGACCAUCCUGGGGCAAAAGCAGUAUGGCACUGGCCCAAGGUCACACAGCCUGUGAGCACCGGAGCUGGGACUGGGAGCCAGCGAGCCACUGGUGUCUGUGAAAAGCUAGCGCCCUGGGUGAAGCCUGCCCAGUACUUGUUCCGACGGAGAGAGAGAGACAGCGGCAGAGAGAAGAGAGACAGGCUUCCAAGCAGGCUCGGCACCCAGCUCGGAGCCGGAUGCGGGGUUCGGACCCACAAACCGUGAGAUCGUGACCUGAGUGGAGGUCAGGAGUCAGCCGCUUAACCACCUGAGCCACCCGGGUGCCCCCAGACUUCCCUUUAAUUGCACAAAAGUGCUGGGAAGAAAACGCGUGUGAACCAACACUUCUGGGUUAUCUUGACGUCCACCCUCUCCCCGUCCGUUCGACGCGUCCGUUCGAAUUCACAAAACAAAGGACACGCGGAGAAGCUGGGGCCGUUGGCGACAGGGGCUGGAUGGCCAGAUGGGCCCGUGAGACUCCUUGCAGCUUCUCAGAUGCGGCCCCGCUGUGCACGGAUGCGAGACAGGUGUGGGUCCGCGGCUCCCCAGCUGGGCCCGCUCAGGCGAGCUGCCCCUUGUUUCAUCAUCUGCAAAACGCAGCCCCGAGACCGGCUUGGCACGCCUGAUCUGUGUGGCUGCUCAGAGCCCUGCAGGCAGAAGGGCCCUGCCCUCGGUUUGAGACCGGGCAGUUGCCAUCUGGAAAGCCCCCGCCCACUUUACUGAGCUAUAAUUGGCACAUAGCAUCGGGUGAGUUUCCCGGUGCGUGUGUUGAUCCGAUACACUUAUAAAUUGCAAAACGCUCACGCUGCCUCCACCGUGA